Molecule: microRNA precursor, 87 nt
Filed under: Jatropha curcas
Lineage: Eukaryota; Viridiplantae; Streptophyta; Magnoliopsida; Malpighiales; Euphorbiaceae
Description: MIR2275 microRNA precursor family
Rfam family: MIR2275 microRNA precursor family
Source: Rfam by way of RNAcentral
CUCUUGAAAGUAAGAAUUGGAGGAACUCAAAUAACUUGUAUCAAAAUACAUAUUAUUUGGUUUCCUCCAAUGUCUUACCUUCAAUGG